CAGCAGCCGCGGUAAUACGUAGGGUGCGAGCGUUAAUCGGAAUUACUGGGCGUAAAGCGUGCGCAGGCGGUUCGUUAAGACAGAUGUGAAAUCCCCGGGCUUAACCUGGGAACUGCAUUUGUGACUGUAUAGCUAGAGUACGGCAGAGGGGGAUGGAAUUCCGCGUGUAGCAGUGAAAUGCGUAGAUAUGCGGAGGAACACCGAUGGCGAAGGCAAUCCCCUGGGCCUGUACUGACGCUCAUGCACGAAAGCGUGGGGAGCAAACAGGAUUAGAUACCCCUGUAGUCCCUGUCUCUUAUAA
This 301-nucleotide ribosomal RNA is filed under the name uncultured bacterium. RNAcentral describes it as "partial 16S ribosomal RNA". It matches the Rfam family "Bacterial small subunit ribosomal RNA", at positions 509 to 809 of the family's 1533-position model. The record is from RNAcentral.